UCCCUAAUGGCUGAGAUGGUAAAGAAUCUGCCUGCAAGGCAGGAGCCCCGGGUUCGAUCCCUGGGUUGGGAA
RNAcentral lists this transfer RNA (72 nucleotides) under Bos taurus (domestic cattle). It matches the Rfam family "tRNA". From Rfam's summary of the family: Transfer RNA (tRNA) molecules are approximately 80 nucleotides in length. Their secondary structure includes four short double-helical elements and three loops (D, anti-codon, and T loops). RNAcentral also lists the same sequence under 2 other names. Lineage: Eukaryota; Metazoa; Chordata; Mammalia; Artiodactyla; Bovidae. The record is from Rfam by way of RNAcentral.